GUUUAUUAAGUUGGGGGUGAAAUCUCCGGGCUCAACCCGGAGCUCGUUCUCAAAACUGGUAGACUUGAGUAAGGUAGAGGCUGACGGAAUUCUGCAAGUAGGGGUAAAAUCCGUUGAUCUGCAGAGGAACACCAAAAGCGAAGGCAGUCAGCUGGGCCUUUACUGACGCUGAGGGACGAAAGCGUGGGUAGCGAACGGGAUUAGAUACCCCGGUAGUCCACGCCGUAAAUGAUGGAUACUGGACAUUGGUACUCGAUCGUAUCAGUGUCUCAAGCUAACGCAUUAAGUAUCCCGCCUGGGGAGUACGGUCGCAAGAUUAAAACUCAAAGGAAUAGACGGGGACCCACACAAGCGGUGGAGCAUGUGGUUUAAUUCGACAAUAAGCGAGGAACCUUACCAGGGCUUGACAUCCCGAGAAUUCUUUAGAAAUAGAGAAGUGCCUUUAUGGAACUCGGUGACAGGUGCUGCAUGGUUGUCGUCAGCUCGUGCCUUGAGGUGUUCGGUUAAGUCCGUAAACGAGCGCAACCCUAGUCCUAUGUUGUAUAUUUCAUAGGAGACUGCCUUGUCCAACGAGGAGGAAGGUUAGGAUGACGUCAAAUCAGCAUGGCCCUUAUGUCCUGGGCGACACACGUGCUACAAUGGUCGGUACAAUGGGUAGCCAACCCGCGAGGGGGAGCCAAUCCCAUCAAAGCCGGUCCAAGUUCGGAUUGGAGGCUGCAACUCGCCUCCAUGAAGUUGGAAUCG
This 744-nucleotide ribosomal RNA is filed under the name uncultured Microgenomates group bacterium. RNAcentral's name for it is "bacterial SSU rRNA". It matches the Rfam family "Bacterial small subunit ribosomal RNA", at positions 578 to 1334 of the family's 1533-position model. The record is from RNAcentral.